CAGCCGCCGCGGUAAUACGAAGGGUGCAAGCGUUAAUCGGAAUUACUGGGCGUAAAGCGUGCGUAGGCGGUGAGUUAAGUCUGCUGUGAAAUCCCCGGGCUCAACCUGGGAAUGGCAGUGGAUACUGGCUCGCUAGAGUGUGUCAGAGGAUGGUGGAAUUCCCGGUGUAGCGGUGAAAUGCGUAGAGAUCGGGAGGAACAUCAGUGGCGAAGGCGGCCAUCUGGGACAACACUGACGCUGAGGCACGAAAGCGUGGGGAGCAAACAGGAUUAGAUACCCGAGUAGUCCCUGUCUCUUAUAU
This 301-nucleotide ribosomal RNA is filed under the name uncultured bacterium. RNAcentral's name for it is "partial 16S ribosomal RNA". It matches the Rfam family "Bacterial small subunit ribosomal RNA", at positions 509 to 809 of the family's 1533-position model. The record is from RNAcentral.